UACGUAGGGACCAAGCGUUGUUCGGAUUUACUGGGCGUAAAGGGCGCGUAGGCGGCUUAACAAGUCACUUGUGAAAUCUCCGGGCUUAACUCGGAACGGCCAAGUGAAACUGUCAAGCUAGAGUGCAGAAGGGGCAAUCGGAAUUCUUGGUGUAGCGGUGAAAUGCGUAGAUAUCAAGAGGAACACCUGAGGUGAAGACGGGUUGCUGGGCUGACACUGACGCUGAGGCGCGAAAGCCAGGGGAGUAAACGGG
Molecule: ribosomal RNA, 253 nt
Filed under: uncultured bacterium
Lineage: Bacteria
Description: partial 16S ribosomal RNA
Rfam family: Bacterial small subunit ribosomal RNA
Source: RNAcentral